RNAcentral lists this ribosomal RNA (408 nucleotides) under Listeria monocytogenes. RNAcentral describes it as "bacterial SSU rRNA". It matches the Rfam family "Bacterial small subunit ribosomal RNA", at positions 1108 to 1517 of the family's 1533-position model. Lineage: Bacteria; Bacillati; Bacillota; Bacilli; Caryophanales; Listeriaceae. The record is from RNAcentral.
AGCUUAGUUGCCAUCAUUAAGUUGGGCACUCUAAGUUGACUGCCGGUGACAAACCGGAGGAAGGUGGGGAUGACGUCAAAUCAUCAUGCCCCUUAUGAUUUGGGCUACACACGUGCUACAAUGGACAAUACAAAGGGCAGCGAAACCGCGAGGUCAAGCAAAUCCCAUAAAGUUGUUCUCAGUUCGGAUUGUAGUCUGCAACUCGACUACAUGAAGCUGGAAUCGCUAGUAAUCGUAGAUCAGCAUGCUACGGUGAAUACGUUCCCGGGUCUUGUACACACCGCCCGUCACACCACGAGAGUUUGUAACACCCGAAGCCGGUGGAGUAACCAUUUGGAGCUAGCCGUCGAAGGUGGGACAAAUGAUUGGGGUGAAGUCGUAACAAGGUAGCCGUAUCGGAAGGUGCGG